CCGUCGGSUCUGAGUAUAGCAUUAUACAGCGAAACUGCGAAUGGCUCAUUAUAUAAGUUAUCGUUUAUUUGAUAGUACCUUACUACUUGGAUAACCGUGGUAAUUCUAGAGCUAAUACAUGCUGAAAAUCCCGACUUCGGAAGGGAUGUAUUUAUUAGAUUAAAAACCAAUGCCCUUCUGGGCUCUCUGGUGAUUCAUGAUAACUUCUCGAAUCGCACGGCCUCGCGCCGGCGAUGGUUCAUUCAAAUUUCUUCCCUAUCAACUUUCGAUGUUUGGGUAGUGGCCAAACAUGGUUGCAACGGGUAACGGAGGGUUAGGGCUCGACCCCGGAGAAGGAGCCUGAGAAACGGCUACUACAUCCAAGGAAGGCAGCAGGCGCGCAAAUUACCCAAUCCCGACACGGGGAGGUAGUGACAAUAAAUACUGAUACAGGGCUCUUUCGGGUCUUGUAAUUGGAAUGAGUACAAUUUAAAUCCCUUAACGAGGAACAAUUGGAGGGCAAGUCUGGUGAACGCAGCCGCGGUAAUUCCAGCUCCAAUAGCGUAUAUUAAAGUUGUUGUGGUUAAAAAGCUCGUAGUUGAACCUUGGGCCUGGCUGGCCGGUCCGCCUCACCGCGUGUACUGGUCCGGCCGGGCCUUUCCCUCUGUGGAACCCCAUGCCCUUCACUGGGCGUGGCGGGGAAACAGGACGUUUACUUUGAAAAAAUUAGAGUGCUCCAGGCAGGCCUAUGCUCGAAUACAUUAGCAUGGAAUAAUGAAAUAGGACGCGCGGUUCUAUUUUGUUGGUUUCUAGGACCGCCGUAAUGAUUAAUAGGGACAGUCGGGGGCAUCAGUAUUCAAUUGUCAGAGGUGAAAUUCUUGGAUUUAUUGAAGACUAACUACUGCGAAAGCAUUUGCCAAGGAUGUUUUCAUUAAUCAGGAACGAAAGUUAGGGGAUCGAAGACGAUCAGAUACCGUCGUAGUCUUAACCAUAAACUAUGCCGACUAGGGAUCGGACGAUGUUAUUUUUUGACUCGUUCGGCACCUUACGAGAAAUCAAAGUGCUUGGGCUCCAGGGGGAGUAUGGUCGCAAGGCUGAAACUUAAAG
This 1086-nucleotide ribosomal RNA is filed under the name Perennicordyceps prolifica. RNAcentral describes it as "SSU rRNA". It matches the Rfam family "Eukaryotic small subunit ribosomal RNA", at positions 49 to 1160 of the family's 1831-position model. The record is from RNAcentral. Lineage: Eukaryota; Fungi; Ascomycota; Sordariomycetes; Hypocreales; Polycephalomycetaceae.